RNAcentral lists this ribosomal RNA (253 nucleotides) under uncultured bacterium. RNAcentral's name for it is "partial 16S ribosomal RNA". It matches the Rfam family "Bacterial small subunit ribosomal RNA", at positions 524 to 776 of the family's 1533-position model. The record is from RNAcentral.
UACGUAGGGUGCAAGCGUUGCCCGGAUUUAUUGGGCGUAAAGGGCGCGUAGGCGGCUCGGCACGUCCGUUGUGAAAUCGCCCGGCUCAACUGGGCGGGGUCAGCGGAUACGGCCGAGCUUGAGCAAGCUAGGGGGCAAUGGAAUUCCCGGUGUAGUGGUGGAAUGCGUAGAUAUCGGGAGGAACACCAGUGGCGAAGGCGGCGACCUGGGUAGAUACUGACGCUGAGGUGCGAAAGCGUGGGGAGCAAACAGG